ACUCGGGCACGAUCCAUGCCGAAUGAGUGUGGAACCGACCCGAAGUCCAACCCUGAGGGA
Molecule: non-coding RNA, 60 nt
Submitted as: unclassified sequences
Source: Rfam